AAUAGCAUCUUCCCCACGACUUCUACAUAAAUUAGCCAUGGAGCUCCACAAAUUGAGCUCCCAGAGGGGACCUGUCGAUUGUGUAUCUGCUGCUGAGGUGUGUUAACGGAUCUGUGGAAGAUCGAAAUAUUGGUUGCCAGUAAUAAUAAGCUUUCCUUCACCACCUGCAUCUUCAGUCUUCUACAGUAUCUGGCAAUGUGUCUGGUAGGUUGGAAAGGUUCCAAUAAACCAAUGAAAGAAAAUUUAUGAAAAUUAUGCACUAUUUGCACUCUAUGGAAAGCUUGUUGGGAUUUUUCACCAACCUAAUGUUUUAAAUUAGAGCUUUCAUAAUUAAAUAUUUGAUCUAUUUC
This is a long non-coding RNA of Solanum pennellii, 350 nucleotides long. RefSeq lists it as uncharacterized. The transcript has 2 exons. The record is from RefSeq and is a predicted model, not a curated record. Lineage: Eukaryota; Viridiplantae; Streptophyta; Magnoliopsida; Solanales; Solanaceae.